Molecule: ribosomal RNA, 468 nt
Filed under: uncultured bacterium
Lineage: Bacteria
Description: partial 16S ribosomal RNA
Rfam family: Bacterial small subunit ribosomal RNA
Source: RNAcentral
GGGGGGGGGGGGGGGCGUGGUGGACGCGGGGGGGGCGAGGGGAAGGGCCCGGGGUUGCUUGGGUGCUCGAGUGGCGAACGGGUGUGUAACACGUGGGUGAUCUGCCCUGCACUGCGGGAUAAGCCUGGGAAACUGGGUCUAAUACCGGAUAGGACGCUGGUUUGGAUGCCAUUGUGGAAAGUUUUUCGGGUGUGGGGUGAGCUCGCGGCCUAUCCGGUUGUUGGUGGGGUCUUGGCCUACCAAGGAGUCGACGGGUAUCCGGCCGGAGAGGGGGUACGGCGACAUUGGGACAGGGAGACGGCCCAGACUGCUAAGGGAGGCGGCAGUGGGGAAGAUUGCACAAUGGGGGCAAGCCUGAUGGAGCGACGCCGCGUGGGGGAUGACGGCCUUCGGGUUGUAAACGCCUUUCGCUAGGGAAGAAGCGUUUUUGUGACGGUACCUGGAGAAGAAGCACCGGCUAACUACGUG